GUGGGCUAACUACUUUAUAGUGAAAAACAAGAUGACUGAAAAAUCUGCUAGAAAAUGUUUGUGUCACUCAAGGGAAGAUGUUUCCAGGUUUGUUAUAUUAGGUAAUCAUCGCGAUGCGUGGACAUUUGGAGCUGUUGAUCCGAAUAGUGGCACAGCAACCCUACUCGUGAUUGCACAAAGGCUCGAAAAACUGCAGAAAAUAGGGUGGAAGCCGCGAAGAACAAUCGUCUUAUGCAACUGGGACGCGGAGGAGUAUGGCCUGAUAGGUUCGGCAGAGUGGGUUGAAGAAAAUAGGGAAAUGCUAGCUGCAAGGGUCGUCGCCUACUUGAACGUUGAUUGUCCAGUUCAAGGGGGACCUUUUCGAGCCUCUGCAACCCCGCAGCUUGAUGAUAUAAUCAUAGAAGCUGCUCGGCAGGUCCAAGAUCCUGAUAACUCCUCACAAACUAUUUACCAAUCCUGGCUUGCCUCUGACAACGAUACAAUAGUAAAGCUCGGGAGAUUAGGAGGAGCUGGAUCAGAUUACGCGGCAUUUGUUCAACACUUGGCACCAAAAAAGCAUGUCGAGUUCAUUUUCAGAGCUUGUAAUUGCGGAAACUGCUUAAAAUAUAGGCAUCGAGCCAUAAAUAAGAAACGAGUAAACCGCAUAAAUAACUAUGUUACCCGGUCUACCACUCGAUGUACGAUGACUUUGUCUGGAUGAAGAAAUUUGGAGACCCGAUGUUUCAUAGGGAUACGGCAGUUGCAAGCAUUUGGGGUUUAGUAGCGCUUCGACUUGUAGACGAUGAAGUUUUUCCGUUCAAUUACCUAUCAUACGCGAUCGAGCUCUAGAAAAGUGCAGAAGACUUGGAAGGUG
Molecule: RNA transcript, 853 nt
Organism: Capsicum annuum
Lineage: Eukaryota; Viridiplantae; Streptophyta; Magnoliopsida; Solanales; Solanaceae
Gene name: probable glutamate carboxypeptidase LAMP1
Exons: 9
Source: RefSeq, a predicted model, not a curated record